AUGUUUUCUAUUCAGAGCAUCCAAAGCUUCAUCAUGGCUUUAGAGCUGCUGUUCUUCAUUCUCCUAAAUUUGUCUUAUGAAGCCAGAGCUAAAGCUCUUCCUCAACCUAAAGUAGAGGUGGAUCGACUUCUGAUCACAGAGACUGACUCGGUCACAUUAAAGUGUUCAACCUCACAUGUUAAUGUUGAUCAGUGUGUUUUCAACAUUGAAAACAAAAAGAUGUCUGCAGCCUCC
This is a long non-coding RNA of Cyprinodon variegatus (sheepshead minnow), 234 nucleotides long. RefSeq lists it as uncharacterized. The transcript has 3 exons. Lineage: Eukaryota; Metazoa; Chordata; Actinopteri; Cyprinodontiformes; Cyprinodontidae. The record is from RefSeq and is a predicted model, not a curated record.